This is a small nucleolar RNA of Otolemur garnettii (small-eared galago), 104 nucleotides long. The record is from Ensembl. NCBI's taxonomy places the organism in Eukaryota, Metazoa, Chordata, Mammalia, Primates, Galagidae.
AUCCUUUUAUAGUUCCUAAGUGUGAUGACUGAGCGUUCAUGCACAUGUGUGAGAUAUGAUUCUCUCAAACUUUGUUAUGGUGUUGGCACAUUACCCAUCUGAUG